Molecule: transfer RNA, 76 nt
Filed under: Hydrogenophaga sp.
Lineage: Bacteria; Pseudomonadati; Pseudomonadota; Betaproteobacteria; Burkholderiales; Comamonadaceae
Description: tRNA-Thr
Rfam family: tRNA
About the family: Transfer RNA (tRNA) molecules are approximately 80 nucleotides in length.
Source: RNAcentral
GCCGGUGUAGCUCAGUCGGUAGAGCAGCUCAUACGUAAUGAGAAGGUCGGGUGUUCGAUUCAUCUCUCCGGCACCA